ACUCAAAUGAAUUGACGGGGGCCCGCACAAGCGGUGGAGCAUGUGGUUCAAUUCGAUGCAGAGCGAAGAACCUUACCUGGGCUUGACAUGCUGGAAGUAGAAACCCGAAAGGGGGACGACCUGUUAAGUCAGGAGCCAGCACAGGUGGUGCAUGGCUGUCGUCAGCUCGUGCCGUGAGGUGUUGGGUUAAGUCCCGCAACGAGCGCAACCCUCACCCUAUGUUGCCAUCAGUUCGGCUGGGCACUCUUAGGGAACUGCCGGCGAAGAGCUGGAGGAAGGGGGGGAUGACGUCAAGUCCGUAUGCCCCUUAUGUCCAGGGCUACACACAUGCUACAAUGGUCGGUACAGAGGGUUGCCAACCCGCGAGGGGGAGCCAAUCCCAUAAAGCCGAUCUCAGUUCGGAUUGCAGGCUGCAACUCGCCUGCAUGAAGUAGGAAUCGCUAGUAAGCGCAGAUCAGCAGGCUGCGCUGAAUACGUUCCCGGGCCUUGUACACACCGCCCGU
Molecule: ribosomal RNA, 503 nt
Filed under: uncultured bacterium
Lineage: Bacteria
Description: partial 16S ribosomal RNA
Rfam family: Bacterial small subunit ribosomal RNA
Source: RNAcentral